AAAGUCGUAACAAGGUUUCCGUAGGUGAACCUGCGGAAGGAUCAUUGGAGUGGUUGAGGGGAGAGAUGAGAGUUGGAAUGAGGGUGAACAAACAAUUAUAUUACAAUUAAUCAACACAACUGCUGACAAUGGAUCUCUGGGCUCUU
RNAcentral lists this unclassified non-coding RNA (146 nucleotides) under Basidiomycota sp. RNAcentral describes it as "partial contains small subunit ribosomal RNA and internal transcribed spacer 1". The stretch from base 1 to 47 matches the Rfam family "Eukaryotic small subunit ribosomal RNA", at positions 1785 to 1831 of the family's 1831-position model. Lineage: Eukaryota; Fungi; Basidiomycota. The record is from RNAcentral.